RNAcentral lists this long non-coding RNA (1017 nucleotides) under Phaseolus vulgaris (common bean). Its description in RNAcentral is "long non-coding RNA (PVUL_LNC005259)". The record is from RNAcentral. Lineage: Eukaryota; Viridiplantae; Streptophyta; Magnoliopsida; Fabales; Fabaceae.
UCACGUUACAUAUUUCUUGAUAGGUCAAAAAAAUUCAUUAAACAGGCAAUCAUAGUGCUUACAUGGUUAUUUUAAGACACAUAUUUUUAUCUUCAGACGAUAGCCAUCACAGAAACUCUCUCUGCAUUCUGGUAAUGAGUUUUGCCAUUAUGCAAGUCACCUUAUAAAAUGACAGAAAAAACAGUGACAGCUAAUGGCAUCAGUCUUUUAACAAUGUUUCAGAGUUCAAGUUAGAUAAUGAUAUUUUGAAUGUAGAAUAAAUUAUAAUUUAAAAAAUACUCACCUUAUCUACCUUAAAGUCUGAUCUUUAAAGGAAGACUAAGGACUUUGAAAAAGUUAUCUUUUUUUUUUUAAUUUAGUCUUUAAUGUCAUGUGAUCUAUUAAAUUACCCUAGUGGGAUAUUACUCCAUUGUUAUUGUAUUAGGUGUUAAAGAUUAUCUUUAAGAUCUUAAAAUUUAAGAUUCUUAGAUGCUUAAUAAUAAUGAUUAGAGAAACUUAUCCAAUACAUCAUUGAUAAUGAAAAGUCUAUAUAUACCUCUAAAUUCUCCUUUCUUAAUCUGCCUGUUCGUUUUUUCUUUUCUUCUCAAAAACUUUCUGAAGUAAAAUUGAGAAAAUCCUACUAAGCAGACAUAGAACCUUUUCAUUUAUAGACCAACUCAUCAGAUUUGGUGGUUAAACAGAUAAUAAUAAUCUAUGAUUAUAUUUCACGCAUUCUAACAUUAGGUUAAUGGAUUCUUGAUGCAAUUAGUUUUGUUAUCUUGGAGUGUACAUGCCAAUCAAUGAACUAUGGAAUGUUGAUUUCGUUCAGGUGACACAAUUCGGUUGCGGAGGGUUUGUGAUAGGCCUCAUAUUCUGCCACAGCAUAUGCGAUGGUCUUGGUGCUGCACAGUUUCUAAAUGCAAUAGGGGAACUAGCUAGGGGUCUGGAGAAACCUACCACCGAACCAGUGUGGCACAGGAACUUCUUUCCAUCUUCUCAAACCCCUCAAGAAACUGCAUUGCCACCAAUACCACUCGC